UUUUUAUUUUUUUUUUCUUUUUGCUUUUUAGGUACGGCAGCACCUGCGGCAAAUAGAAGUUCCCAGGCUGGGGGCAAAUCAGCUGCAGCUGCCGGUCUAUGCCACAGUCACAGCAAUAUGGGAUCUGAGCUGCUUCUGCUACCUAAGCUGCAACACCAGAUCCUUAACCCACUGAUGAGGCCAAGGAUCUAACCAUCAACCUUAUCGAUACCAGUCAGGUUCUUAACCUACUGAGCCACAAUGGGAGCUCCCUGGGAUUUCUAAUCGCAUAGAGUGCUUCAUGGUUUAUUGCCCUCUUAGAUCCUUACAACAGUCUUAUAAGAAAAUAGUACGAGAUUAUUUAACCCAUUCUACCCGUUAGGAAAUUUUUAAGUUUUGAGACAAAAAACAAACAAACAAACAAACAAACAAACAAACAAACAAACAAACAAAACCACCUAAAUAAUUAGCCUAAGGUCCUAAGGUUACAUGGUUAGUAAUGUGCAGAGUCGGCACAAAACCCUGGGCUUCAGCUUCAAGUAUCCCUUCUACUGCAGCUCAGAGACUGGUUAAAGUACAAAGUCAAGUGUCACAGGGCAGUUGAUGGAGAAAUCUGUGGACACUGAUCCUACUCUGUCUUCACUAUUUCCUAUUCGUCCCUGAACCUUGUGCUUUGGAAUAAAAUCCCAUAUGUUGGUCCUUAACAGCUAUUUCUCAAACACAUCACAUGGCUAAAUGAGGCUAAGGACACACCAGCUAAUGGUUUAAAGCAUUAUUGUUUUUCCUGCAUUACUAUUAUCUUGACAAUUAUGGAACAGAGAGAUCUGAGCAUGUUCUAGCCCACCUUGUUAUGAGGGUAGUAGAGUUGGGAGGAGGUAAAGAAGGAUAGUAUUUUUUUCCAACCAGAUAAAAAUGAUUUAAAAAUCUUUAGAUUCUUCCUUUAAAGAGGUUAAUUGGGCAAAGAUUGUAUGUGGAGAGAGGCAGGUGCUAGUUUUUCUCACUAUUCAGUGCAUCCAGGCCAAAUGUGUUUUAUGUUGGUUUGGCUAGUUUUAUGCUUUUAAUUAUUGCGCAGUUUUCUUAAGCAAAUUAUUACCAACACUGCCUGGACCAGGCAAUCAGAUUUCCUGCUUCUAUCGUUGCCAGAUCAGAAUAAAAGAGUUAGAUGAUAGUGUCAUAUCAUUGAGAAUUUUUGUUCAUAUUCAGGGGUCUAGAGCUCAGAAACAUAAUUCUAAGUCUUCUUACCUGGAAAGUCAAUUGGAGUUGACCAGAAUAAAAAUAUUUAUUUCUACGGCUAAUUCUUGAUGAGACUGAAAGCAGAAGAAAGUGUAAAAUGCAGACAUACAAUAAAUGUAUAGGAGUUUUAGUUGUGCUUCCAACUAGAAUGAGUUACAAAAGAUCCUAGAGACACAUUGUCUAGGGUUCCUUUCCACAACAGCCUCAAGGACUAGUUAAAGAGACAAGGCUUGGGUAUAUAUCAUACCAGAAGAAACAGAAAGGCAGUUCGCCAUAAAUAAGAUAUUCAGUCAGUAUUA
This 1511-nucleotide long non-coding RNA is filed under the name Sus scrofa (pig). RNAcentral's name for it is "lncRNA (ENSSSCG00015045175.1)". The record is from RNAcentral. Lineage: Eukaryota; Metazoa; Chordata; Mammalia; Artiodactyla; Suidae.